Chlorocebus sabaeus (green monkey) is the source of this 6224-nucleotide non-coding RNA. The record is from RefSeq and is a predicted model, not a curated record. NCBI's taxonomy places the organism in Eukaryota, Metazoa, Chordata, Mammalia, Primates, Cercopithecidae.
AUGGUAGUUGGGACCCCUGUGAAUUCUGAUACUGGCUUUUCCUUCAUGUCACACGUGAGCGGGUCUUGGAGGAAUACACCAACCUUUGUUGCUGUCCUCACCGACAUCAACUCUGAGCGCCACUACUGCGCUGCUUGACCUUCUGGGAGCGGGUGGAGCCUUCACAGCAGGAAACAAUGCGUGCUGAGGAUGCCACAGAAAGGGAGGAAGAGGAGGAUGAGGGAGGCCAGACGCACCUGUUGCCCACAGAGCCUGCCCCAUAUGCCCAGAUGUUUGCCCCAAAGACGCUGGUGCUGGUGUAGCGACUUGACCACACAGGUGUUCAGGUACGGCCUUGGCCUCAUCUAUGCCAUCCACGUGGAGGGCCUGAAUGUGUUCCCAGGGAAUGUAAUUAGGAACCUGCUGAUGUGCACCGUGCCCCUGGCUGGGGGCUCGCAGAGGACGAUCUCUUUGGGGGCUGGUGAUCGGCAGGUCAUCCAGACUCCACUGGCCGACUCGCUGCCCAUCAGCAGCUGCAGCGUGGCUCUGCUCUUCUGCCAGCUGGACAUCACCAAUGUGCUGUCUUUGUCUUGUGUCGCCCUCACAGAGCACAAGGUUCUCUUCCUGUCCCCUAGCUACCAGCAGCUUGCUGAUGCCUGCAGGGGCCUCCUGGCAUUGCUGUUUCCCCUCAGAUACAGCUUCACCUAUGUGCCCAUCCUGCUGGCCCAGCUGCUGGAGGUCCUCAGCACACCCAUGCGCUUCAUCAUUGGAGUCAACGCGGCCCUCUAGGCAGAGACCAGGAGCUGCUAGAUGUGAUCGUUGCUGAUCUGGAUGGAGGGAGAGUGACCAUCCCUGAGUGUGUGCACAUUCCACCCUUGCUAGAGCCACUGCAGAGUCAGACGCACAGUGUUCUGAGCAUAGUCCUGGACCUGGAGCUGGAGUUGGUUAACCUUGCCUUCCCUCCACCCACGACGUCCCCUCCUCCCUGAAGAUGCAGGACAAAGAGCUGCAUGCCAUCUUCCGGCGGCUCUUUGAUCGGCUGCUGCAGGGCUAUCUCUGGUGCCUGCAUGUCAUGCGCAUUCACCCGGAGCCUGUCGUCCACUUCCAUAAGGCAGCCUUCCUGGGCCAGUGUGGGCUGGUGGAGGACUAUUUUCUGAUGAAGGUGCUGGAGGGCAUGGCCUUUGCUCUCUUCAUGUUGGAGCGUGGGGUCCCGUACCGCCCCACGGAACUGUUUGAUGAGCUGGUGGCCCACGAGGUGGCAUGCAGGCGGGCGGAUGAGAACCACCCCCAGUGUGUCCUGGGUCACAUCCAGGAACUGGCAGAGCAGCUCUACAAGAAUGAGAACCUGUACCCAGACUUGGCGAUGCACAAGGUACAGAGGCGGGUGAGAGCAGCCAUCUGCGAUGGGCGCCCCAGCCCUUCCCCUAGCUGGAUGAGGGCACCAUGCAGCGGAUCGUGGACCAGGCUACUGCCAAGAUGCAAGGGGCACACCUAGCCAUGAAGGCUGAAAGGAGGACCACAGGGCCCUCAGGGCCCCGCAUGACUGCCAUACUGGAUCGGUGCAGUAGGCUGCAAGUCAACAGCGCUGGCCGGCCAGAGGUUGUGGGCACUUGCAUCUCCCGUGAGUUUGAGGGGAAGAUGCUUGAGGCCAAGAAGCUGCUCUCAGCCGUGCUGAGGGCCCUGAAGAGGCGAGCUGCCCGCUGCUGCCUCACCCAGGAGCUGCACCUGUAUGUGCAGCAGAACUGGGCGGUCCUGGACAACCAGCAGUUUGACUUUGUCAUCCAUAUGAUGAACUGCUGCCUGCAGGACUGCACUUCUCUGGACGAGCAUGACAUCUUGGCUGCUCUGCUGCCUCUGGUCACGAAGCUGGAAGCUGAGCCGGAGGGGUGAGGCAGUUCUCUUACAGCUGUGUGCAGGAGCACGUGGUGUGGAGCAUGCCAGAAUUCUGGGGGGCCAUGUUCUAUUGGGACACGCAGACUCAAAUCUGGGCCCUCUACCUGGAGCCAACUAAGGACCAGACCCCUGCCCAGGAGGUUGGGGAGGCACCUUCCCAGGAGGACGAGCAAGCACUCUGCCCUAGACGUGGCUUCUGAGCAGUGGUGCCUGUGGCCAUCCUUGAGCGGUGAGAAGCAGCAGGAACUGAUGCAGAAAGAGGAGAGCAUGGUGUUCAGCCAGGCCAUCCACUAUGCCAACCGCAUGAGCUACCUCCUGCUGCCCCUGGACAGCAGCAAGAGCCUCCUGCUUCAGGAGCUCCCAGGCUGGGUGACCUAGAGAGCACCAGCAACAGCCUGGUCCCCAACAGCAUGGCUGGCAGUGUGGCUAAGAGCUAUGACACGGGGAGCGGCUUUGAGGACACAGAGACCUGCAAUGUAGCUGGGGCUGUGUUCUGCUUCAUCAAUCGCUUUGUGGACAAGGUUUGCACAGAGAGUGGGGUCACCAGUGACCACCUCAAGGGGCUGCAUGUCAUGGUGUCAGACAUCAUCCAGAUGCACAUCAAGACCCUGAAGGCUGUGCGGCGGAAGAACUGGAGGCUGAUGUCCACCCAGAAACCAAAGCUACUGAGGCCGUGCCUGCUGUCUGGUGAGGAGUGUGUGCUGGACAGCCUGCGUGUCUACCUGCUACCGGAUGGGCGUGAGGAGGGUGCCGGGGGCAGUGCAGGGGGGCCAGCACUGCUCCCAGCUGAGGGCACUGUCUUCCUCAUCACGUACCACGUCAUCUUCACAGGGAUGCUCACAGACCCCCUGGUGGGGGAGCAGGUGGUGUUCCGCUCCUUCCCGGUGGCCACGCUGACCAAGGAGAAGUGUAUCAGCGUCCAGACCCCUGUGGACCAGCUCUUGCAGGAUGGGCUGCAGCUGCGCUCCUGCACAUUCCAACUGCUGAAAACGGCCUUUGAUGACAAGGUGGGGUCUGACAGUGUCGAACCCUUCUGCAAGCAGCUGCAUAAGCUGUGGUACACACUGGAUGUCAGGGCCACCUUCUCCUUCACCCUGGGAUCUGCCUACACACUGGGCAGGCCACCCCGUGUCACCAAGAACAAGGGUCUUUCCCUCAGAACCCUGUCCUGGAACCUGGUUAAGAACGCCAAGAAGACCAUUGGGCGGCAGCAUGUCACUCGCAAGAAGUACAACCCCCCCAGCUAGGAGCACUGGGGCCAGCCCCCUGAGGACCAGGAGGACGAGAUCUCAGUGUCUGAGGAGCUGGAGCCCAGCACGCUGACCCCGUCCUCAGCCCUGAAGCCCUCAGACCGCAUGACCAUGAGCAGCCUCCUGGUGGAAAGGACUUGCUGCCGCGAUUACCAGUACCUCGGCCUGGGCACCCUGAGCAGCCGCCUGAGCUGGGUCAGGUCUGAAUCCUUCUGCAUUUCUCCAGUCAACCGCAUGUAUACCAUCUACUGCAGCUACCCGGGGCUGCUGAUCACGCCCCAGAGUGUCCAGGACAAUGCCCUGCAGCAUGUGUCCCACUGCUACCGCCAGAACUGCUUCCCUGUGGUCUGCUGGGGCAGCGGGCGGUCCAAGGCAAUACUGCUGCGUUCUGGGGGCCUGCAUGGCAUAGGUGUAGUCGGCCUCUUUAAGGCCCAGAACGCACCUUCUCCAGGCCAGUUCCAGGCGGACUCGAGUAGCGUGGAGCAGAAGUAGUACCUGCAGGCUGUGGUCAGCUCCAUGCCCCGCUACUCUGGUGCAUCUGGAUGCAACACACUUAGCGGCUUCUCCUCAGCCUACAUGGGCAGCCACAUUCCCAGCCCCAGAGCCAGGGUCACCACACUGUCCAACCCCAUGGCAGCCUCAGCCUCCAGACUGACUGCACCCCGAGGUAAGUGGGGGCAGUGUCGGGAUUAGUGGGCGCAGCAGUGGGCUUGGUGCCAAUGUGGGCACCUGGCUAGCUGGCAGAGACGUGCUGGCCCCACCCCAGGCCAACGGGUGCCCCUUGCCCCCCAACCAGGACUUCCUGUGGCUGCAGCGAGCAGCCCUCUACAUCCUCCGGGACAAAGUCCAACUCAAGAGUGUGAGGCCAGAUCCCCUGCAGCAGUGGGAGCUGGUGCCCAUUGAGGUAUUCCAGGAGUGGCAGGUGAAGACUAGCUUCAAGAAGCUGCUGAAGGCAUGUGUCCCAGGCUGCUCUGCUGCUGAGCCCAGCCUAGCCUCCUUCCUGCCCUUGCUGGAGGACUGGAGUGGCUGAUUCAGAUCUAAAGCUGCUGCAGGUGUUGGUGCUGGUGGGGAGCUCCUGUACUCAAGCUCCUCCGUGCUGAUGGGCCUGGAGGACGGCUGGGCCAUCACCACCCAGGUGGUAUCCUUGGUGCAGCUGCUGUCAGACCCCUUCUACCGCAUGCUGGAGGGGUUCUGCCUGCUGGUGGAGAAGGAGUGGCUGUCCUUCAGUCAUCGCUUCAGCCACUGGAGAGACCACAUUCUGGCUGGACAGAGCAGCAGCUUCACACCAUCUUCCUGUAGUUCCUGGACUGCCUACACCAGGUCCACCUGCAGUUCCUCAUGGAGUUUGAGUUCAGCCAGUUCUACCUCAAGUUCCUUGGCUACCACCAUGUGUCCGGCUGUUUCCGGACCGUCCUGCUGGACUCUGACUAUGAGCACAUUGAGCUGGGGCUGCUGUAAGAGAAGGGGCAGCGCAGCGGCCAGCUGCCUUGCAGGUCUGUGUGUGGACGGGAUGAGCAAGAGGACACCCAUGUUCCACAAUUACAUGCAUGCACCCGAGGACAGAGAGGUCCUGCGGACCUACAGCAAUGUGUCCAAUCUGAAGGUAUAGGACUUCUACACUGAGGAGAUGCUGGCCGAGGGCCCUCCCUAUGACCAGAAACUGGCCCAGGGGCCCCCUGAGCCCCAAAGGAAGAAUGGUCUGAGGCAGGCACUCCCCAGAGCAGGCGCAGUAUGGUGUGGCCUGCUACCACAGCUGCCUCGGAGCCCAGCCUGACGCCAUCUCACGCCUGCUGGAGGAGCUGCAGAGGCUGGAGACAGAGCUGGGCUGACCCGCUGAGCGCUGGAAGGACACCUGGGAACGGAUGAGGCUGCACAGUGCCUCGAAGCCCGGCCAGAUGGACGUGGCACCCCUAGCUCCCUCCUAGCGUCCCCUGCACCCCACCACCGCUGCUCGCUGGUUACGUACCAGCAGGAGGAACCCCUGGGCUCCACCCUGAGCCUCAGCCUGGAGAGUGACCAGAGAAGUGGCUCGACCGCAUCUGGCUCCCACCAGGCUGCCCACUGCAGCACCAGCACCCUGUACCGCCAGUUCCAGACAGCUGAGAGUGAGAACAGGUCCUAUGAGGGCACUCUGUACAAGAAGGAGGCCUUCAUGAAGCCUUGGAAGGCCCGCUGGUUCAUGUUGGACAAGACCAAGCACCAGCUGCGCUACUACGGCCACCGUGUGGACACUGAGUGCAAGGGUGUCAUGGACCUGGCGGAGGUGGAGGCUGUGGCACCUGGCACGUCCACCAUGGGUGCCCCUAAGAGCUUGGAUGAGAAGGCCUUCUUUGACGUGAAGACAACACGUCUCGUUUACAACUUUUGUGCCCAGGACGUGCCCUCGGUCCAGCAGUGGGUGGACCGGAUCCAGAGCCGCCUGUCGGAGGCCUGAGCCUCCCGGACUUGCCUGGCUGCUCUGCUUCCAGUCGUUACUGACCACUAGGGGUGGGCAGGGCCGCCCUGGCCGUGUUUACAGCCCCGGCCCAGCCCUCGGCAGUAUUGAGGCCCCAAGCCCCCAGCACUUGUGUGUACAGGCCCCGUCCCUGCCCUGCCCGGCCCCGCCCUGCCUGGCCGGCCCUAACUUAUUUUGGCGUCACAGCUGAGCACCGUGCCGGGAGGUGGCCAAGGUACAGCCCACAAUGGGCCUGUAAAUAGCCCAGCCAGCCGGCUGCAGGCGAGUUGUUUCUAGAACCAGAGUCUAUAUAAAGAGAGAACUACUGCAAAAUAAAAUAAAAUAAAAUAAAAUAAAAAAUAAGAAUAAAUAUCUCAAUUUAUCACCUUUCAUCAAUUUUCGACAAUUUUGUCCAACUUUAUAUGUUAUUAUUUUUUUAACCUGAGAGGAUUUGCUAAUCUGUUAAUACCACCAUGGCUAAAAGUUCAAGUCAUUUAUUAUUUAUAUAAUAAGUCAUAACAUUGGAUUUUAGGGCUACUGGAAGAGUUCAAUGCUAAAUGCUCUUUUGGGUAUGUAAGGCCUCAAUUACAGAGCCACAGGCAGUUGUUUAUCCUUCCACUGACACUCUCUUUAUUUUUCUUUAUUUGUAGUAAUUUUGUUUAUUUGUA